GAAUCUGUUGCCCACGAAGAUGGGUCUGCUGAAGAUGACCUUGGCGUCAACCAGGAAUUGGUAGCUCCCUCAAAACAGCAUGACAGUGAGGAAACCUCCAAAGAAUCAGAUGUCUUCCCAAGCAGCCCGGUAAAAGAAAAGGAUGCCCAGCCUAUGCUUCCCAUUUGCGCCUCUGCCAGUGAAGCUGUUAAAGAGUGUGGCAAGUCUGGGUUUGACGAAGAAGACGAAGAGAUGACUCAAGAUAAAAUAAAGUCUCUCUUGGAGA
This 265-nucleotide unclassified non-coding RNA is filed under the name Hevea brasiliensis (rubber tree). The record is from RNAcentral. Lineage: Eukaryota; Viridiplantae; Streptophyta; Magnoliopsida; Malpighiales; Euphorbiaceae.